GAGUGGCGAACGGGUGAGUAACACGUGGGUAACCUGCCCAUCAGAAGGGGAUAACACUUGGAAACAGGUGCUAAUACCGUAUAACAAUCGAAACCGCAUGGUUUUGAUUUGAAAGGCGCUUUCGGGUGUCGCUGAUGGAUGGACCCGCGGUGCAUUAGCUAGUUGGUGAGGUAACGGCUCACCAAGGCCACGAUGCAUAGCCGACCUGAGAGGGUGAUCGGCCACAUUGGGACUGAGACACGGCCCAAACUCCUACGGGAGGCAGCAGUAGGGAAUCUUCGGCAAUGGACGAAAGUCUGACCGAGCAACGCCGCGUGAGUGAAGAAGGUUUUCGGAUCGUAAAACUCUGUUGUUAGAGAAGAACAAGGAUGAGAGUAACUGUUCAUCCCUUGACGGUAUCUAACCAGAAAGCCACGGCUAACUACGUGCCAGCAGCCGCGGUAAUACGUAGGUGGCAAGCGUUGUCCGGAUUUAUUGGGCGUAAAGCGAGCGCAGGCGGUUUCUUAAGUCUGAUGUGAAAGCCCCCGGCUCAACCGGGGAGGGUCAUUGGAAACUGGGAGACUUGAGUGCAGAAGAGGAGAGUGGAAUUCCAUGUGUAGCGGUGAAAUGCGUAGAUAUAUGGAGGAACACCAGUGGCGAAGGCGGCUCUCUGGUCUGUAACUGACGCUGAGGCUCGAAAGCGUGGGGAGCAAACAGGAUUAGAUACCCUGGUAGUCCACGCCGUAAACGAUGAGUGCUAAGUGUUGGAGGGUUUCCGCCCUUCAGUGCUGCAGCUAACGCAUUAAGCACUCCGCCUGGGGAGUACGACCGCAAGGUUGAAACUCAAAGGAAUUGACGGGGGCCCGCACAAGCGGUGGAGCAUGUGGUUUAAUUCGAAGCAACGCGAAGAACCUUACCAGGUCUUGACAUCCUUUGACCACUCUAGAGAUAGAGCUUCCCCUUCGGGGGCAAAGUGACAGGUGGUGCAUGGUUGUCGUCAGCUCGUGUCGUGAGAUGUUGGGUUAAGUCCCGCAACGAGCGCAACCCUUAUUGUUAGUUGCCAUCAUUCAGUUGGGCACUCUAGCAAGACUGCCGGUGACAAACCGGAGGAAGGUGGGGAUGACGUCAAAUCAUCAUGCCCCUUAUGACCUGGGCUACACACGUGCUACAAUGGGAAGUACAACGAGUCGCGAAGUCGCGAGGCUAAGCUAAUCUCUUAAAGCUUCUCUCAGUUCGGAUUGCAGGCUGCAACUCGCCUGCAUGAAGCCGGAAUCGCUAGUAAUCGCGGAUCAGCACGCCGCGGUGAAUACGUUCCCGGGCCUUGUACACACCGCCCGUCACACCACGAGAGUUUGUAACACCCGAAGUCGGUGAGGUAACCUUUUGGAGCCAGCCGCCUAAGGUGGGAUAGAUGAUUGGGGUGAAGUCGUAACAAGGUAGCCGUAUCGGAAGGUGCGGCUGGAUCACCUCCUUU
Molecule: ribosomal RNA, 1453 nt
Filed under: Enterococcus faecium
Lineage: Bacteria; Bacillati; Bacillota; Bacilli; Lactobacillales; Enterococcaceae
Description: bacterial SSU rRNA
Rfam family: Bacterial small subunit ribosomal RNA
Source: RNAcentral